GUGGAAGUGGGUAUAUUCUCAUCCAUCAACCACAAAGAGUCAAACAUCAUUUUUCAUCACUACCUCCAGGGACACCCAGCAUCACCACCACCAACUCUUCCUUGGUAAACUGGGUAUAAUCCCAAUCUCACCUCUCCGGGGUGUUUGGCAAGUCUCUCCCUGUCAAUACAGGAGAAUGAUAGCUGUAACCAAAUGCUUCCUCUGUUGUUAGGCAUCUGCUGAGCCAGGAAUGCAGCUAUCUUAAGCAAAAGGGAGGGUU
This 259-nucleotide long non-coding RNA is filed under the name Homo sapiens (human). Its description in RNAcentral is "non-protein coding lnc-USP7-2:1". The record is from RNAcentral. Lineage: Eukaryota; Metazoa; Chordata; Mammalia; Primates; Hominidae.